AGAACGAACGCUGGCGGCAUGCCUAACACAUGCAAGUCGAACGAGACCUUCGGGUCUAGUGGCGCACGGGUGCGUAACGCGUGGGAAUCUGCCCUUGGGUUCGGAAUAACAGUUAGAAAUGACUGCUAAUACCGGAUGAUGACGUAAGUCCAAAGAUUUAUCGCCCAGGGAUGAGCCCGCGUAAGAUUAGCUAGUUGGUGGGGUAAAGGCCUACCAAGGCAACGAUCUUUAGCUGGUCUGAGGGGAUGAUCAGCCACACUGGGACUGAGACACGGCCCAGACUCCUACGGGAGGCAGCAGUGGGGAAUAUUGGACAAUGGGCGAAAGCCUGAUCCAGCAAUGCCGCGUGAGCGAUGAAGGCCUUAGGGUUGUAAAGCUCUUUUACCCGGGAUGAUAAUGACAGUACCGGGAGAAUAAGCUCCGGCUAACUCCGUGCCAGCAGCCGC
RNAcentral lists this ribosomal RNA (446 nucleotides) under uncultured bacterium. Its description in RNAcentral is "SSU rRNA". It matches the Rfam family "Bacterial small subunit ribosomal RNA", at positions 26 to 518 of the family's 1533-position model. The record is from RNAcentral.